This is a long non-coding RNA of Mauremys reevesii (Reeves's turtle), 1245 nucleotides long. RefSeq lists it as uncharacterized. The transcript has 3 exons. NCBI's taxonomy places the organism in Eukaryota, Metazoa, Chordata, Testudines, Geoemydidae. The record is from RefSeq and is a predicted model, not a curated record.
CCAGUACACGUAUUUUCCGUUCCUUCUCUUGACCACGCCCUUCCUGCCCCUCCCUUGCGCGAGGGAAACACGCUGUUCUCGCGUGGGCCAAACAGAACUCGUUCCUCAUUGGUUCCCUGUAGGGCUCACGUGAUUCUCUCCUUCACCGGCAUGUCCUGCCCCCAAAUAACGUCCUAGCCCUGUCACGUGGUCGCCUGCCGGGUAAGGAGGGGGAGGCGAGACCAGGCUCGGUGUGAGACGAGCUGGCGGGAGCUGCCGAAGCCGUGGGCCGAGCCGAUGGACCGGGCGUGCUGAGCAGGUGCCUUCAUGUUCCAGGUACCUGAAGGCCUCAAGUCAUCCCCCUCUGAGCCUCUCACCGUGCCUGGCAUAGUAACCCCCCACUCUGCCCUUCCCUGGAGCGCCAGCCCCCUGGAUCUACCCGAGCGCCACUCCCCCCCGAAAGCCCAACCUCUGCACUGCACCCCAGGAACGGGCACGACACCCCUGCUAAAGCUGCAGAUGACAGAGGAGUCUCCUGGUGUCUCAUUCACGUCCCCUGGGCUGGCACUUCCAUGUAGAUUUGUGGCACCUGAAUUCGAGAUGCUGCUUUACAGAACAGAGGGAUGAACAUUCCAGAAGACCAGCAGCCUGAUCCGGGACUCUAUUAUCAAUUGCAGAAACCAGUUUAAGGGAGUAAGGAAUCAGGAUGCUGAUGCUGAGCAGUGGAUAGACUGCCACAAAGCAGACUAGCUGGGGCUUUGCAAGAGAACGACAGCUUUAUGUUGUACCUCACGUACAUUUAUCAGAUAUGUGAUAUUUCUGAGGAAUCUCUUAACUUUUUAAAACCAGCACCCCAUGGACACCUCUGGAUUCCUUGGAGGAGCCUGAGAAAGAGAUCCCUGCCAAGAACUGUGAGGAGAAGGAGAGAGGGGGAAGACAUGAGCAGGGACUCCAGCCAUGCCAUGAGCUAGGGCAUAAACCAACCACUAACAGCCUGGGAUCAUAUUAUGCCAUAAUUGUCGAUUACAAGGUUUCUUGCACCCUCCUCUGAAGUAUCUGUUAUGACAAUUCCCAUGUUCCUAACCAAAGACAGAAUUUGGCCCAAAAUGUUUUAAAAUUGAAUUUCAGCAACUCUCCUGCAGAAGGCUCCUGGCCUCCCCUUCAGCUGCAUUGGGACGCCUUUCACUUCCAACGUCAUUUCCAAGGCACAAGGGGCUCAUGAUGUAGCGAUAGUCACUAGUGACAGCAGCAGCUGCUCCAGCAAUG